GCUCUUUCCCUGUUGCCCUGCU
This 22-nucleotide microRNA is filed under the name Sarcophilus harrisii (Tasmanian devil). Its description in RNAcentral is "Sha-Mir-130-P4a_5p* (star (passenger))". RNAcentral also lists the same sequence under 1 other name. The record is from RNAcentral. Lineage: Eukaryota; Metazoa; Chordata; Mammalia; Dasyuromorphia; Dasyuridae.